AUACGGAGGGGGCUAGCGUUGUUCGGAAUUACUGGGCGUAAAGCGCGCGUAGGCGGCUUAUCAAGUUAGGCGUGAAAGGCCUGGGCUCAACCCGGGAACUGCGCUUAAUACUGGUAGACUUGAGUCCGGGAGAGGGUGGCGGAAUUCCCAGUGUAGAGGUGAAAUUCGUAGAUAUUAGGAAGAACACCGGUGGCGAAGGCGGCUGCCUGGCCCGGUACUGACGCUCAGGUGCGAAAGCGUGGGGAGCAAACAGGAUUAGAAACCCCAGUAGUCC
This 274-nucleotide ribosomal RNA is filed under the name uncultured bacterium. RNAcentral describes it as "partial 16S ribosomal RNA". It matches the Rfam family "Bacterial small subunit ribosomal RNA", at positions 523 to 796 of the family's 1533-position model. The record is from RNAcentral.